This 433-nucleotide ribosomal RNA is filed under the name uncultured bacterium. Its description in RNAcentral is "partial 16S ribosomal RNA". It matches the Rfam family "Bacterial small subunit ribosomal RNA", at positions 29 to 507 of the family's 1533-position model. The record is from RNAcentral.
AGCGAACGCUGGCGGCAGGCCUAACACAUGCAAGUCGAACGAACUCUUCGUAGUUAGUGGCGGUCGGGUGAGUAACACGUGGGAACGUGCCUUUUUGUUCGGAAUAACUCAGGUAAACUUGGGCUAAUACCGAAUGGCCCCUUCUGGGAACAGAUUUAUCGCCAUUGGGACGGCCCGCGUCUGUUUAGCUUGUUGGUGAGGUAACGGCUCACCAAGGCGACGAUCAGUAGCGGGUCUGAGAGGAUGAGCAGCCACACUGGGACUGAGGCCCGGCCCAGAAUACUACGGGAGGGAGCAGAGGGGAAUCUUGCCAAAUGGGCGAAAGCAUGACGCAGCCAUGCCGGGUGAAUGAUGAAGGUCGGAGGAAAGAAAAAUUCUUUAACCGGGGACGAUAAUGACGGUACCCGGAGAAGAAGCACCGGCUAACUUCGUG